RNAcentral lists this ribosomal RNA (484 nucleotides) under uncultured bacterium. Its description in RNAcentral is "partial 16S ribosomal RNA". It matches the Rfam family "Bacterial small subunit ribosomal RNA", at positions 30 to 507 of the family's 1533-position model. The record is from RNAcentral.
AUUGAACGCUGGCGGCAGGCCUAACACAUGCAAGUCGAGCGGAUGAAGGGUGCUUGCUUCUGGUUUCAGCGGCGCACGGGUGUGUAAUGCCUAGGAAUCUGCUUGGCUGUGGGUGAGGACGUCUGGAAACGGGCGCUACUACUGCCUACGUCCUGCUGGAGCUAGUUGGGGGUCUUCGGACCUUACGCUCGCAGGUGAGUCUAGGUGGGAUUAGCUAGUUGGUGGGGUAAAGGCCUACUAAGGCGACGAUCCGUAACUGGUCGGAGAGGAUGAUCAGUCGCACGGGAGGUGAGACACGGUCCAGAGGCCUACGGGAGGCAGCAGUGGGGAAUGUUAGACAGUAGGGGAAAACCUUGUACAACCAGGCCGCGUGUGUGGAAAAGGUCUUCGGAUUGUAAAGAACGUUAAGUGGGGGGAAAGGGCAGUAGGUUGAUACCUUGCUGUUUUGACGGUACCAACAGAAGAAGCACCGGCUAACUUCGUG